AAAGUAGGUUCUUAAAUAAGAUUAAUAGGGAAAAAGGUUGAAAGCCUUUGCAGCCCCCGCUACUGUAAGAUUGACGAAACUAUAAACUACCACUGCUAAUUUGGCGGGAAGGUAUAGGAGUAGGAUGAUAUUGAGCCAGGAGACCUGCCUAAUUUUGA
This 158-nucleotide non-coding RNA is filed under the name uncultured Romboutsia sp. Lineage: Bacteria; Bacillati; Bacillota; Clostridia; Peptostreptococcales; Peptostreptococcaceae. The record is from RNAcentral.